This 106-nucleotide non-coding RNA is filed under the name Triticum urartu. RNAcentral describes it as "SAM-I sequence". It matches the Rfam family "SAM riboswitch aptamer (S box leader)". From Rfam's summary of the family: The SAM riboswitch is found upstream of a number of genes which code for proteins involved in methionine or cysteine biosynthesis in Gram-positive bacteria. The SAM riboswitch acts at the level of transcription termination control. The record is from RNAcentral. Lineage: Eukaryota; Viridiplantae; Streptophyta; Magnoliopsida; Poales; Poaceae.
UGCUUAUAGAGAAAGGCUGAGGGAUUAGACCCGCGGACGCCUUAGCAACCUGACGCAUGUCAAGGUGCUACAAUCUACCCGUUCGUAACGAAGGGAAUGAUAAGCG